Molecule: ribosomal RNA, 1023 nt
Filed under: uncultured Alternaria
Lineage: Eukaryota; Fungi; Ascomycota; Dothideomycetes; Pleosporales; Pleosporaceae
Description: eukaryotic LSU rRNA
Rfam family: Eukaryotic large subunit ribosomal RNA (bases 391-1023)
Source: RNAcentral
CUUCGCCCACCACUAGGACAAACAUAAACCUUUUGUAAUUGCAAUCAGCGUCAGUAACAAAUUAAUAAUUACAACUUUCAACAACGGAUCUCUUGGUUCUGGCAUCGAUGAAGAACGCAGCGAAAUGCGAUAAGUAGUGUGAAUUGCAGAAUUCAGUGAAUCAUCGAAUCUUUGAACGCACAUUGCGCCCUUUGGUAUUCCAAAGGGCAUGCCUGUUCGAGCGUCAUUUGUACCCUCAAGCUUUGCUUGGUGUUGGGCGUCUUGUCUCUAGCUUUGCUGGAGACUCGCCUUAAAGUAAUUGGCAGCCGGCCUACUGGUUUCGGAGCGCAGCACAAGUCGCACUCUCUAUCAGCAAAGGUCUAGCAUCCAUUAAGCCUUUUUUUCAACUUUUGACCUCGGAUCAGGUAGGGAUACCCGCUGAACUUAAGCAUAUCAAUAAGCGGAGGAAAAGAAACCAACAGGGAUUGCCCUAGUAACGGCGAGUGAAGCGGCAACAGCUCAAAUUUGAAAUCUGGCUCUUUUAGAGUCCGAGUUGUAAUUUGCAGAGGGCGCUUUGGCUUUGGCAGCGGUCCAAGUUCCUUGGAACAGGACGUCACAGAGGGUGAGAAUCCCGUACGUGGUCGCUGGCUAUUGCCGUGUAAAGCCCCUUCGACGAGUCGAGUUGUUUGGGAAUGCAGCUCUAAAUGGGAGGUACAUUUCUUCUAAAGCUAAAUAUUGGCCAGAGACCGAUAGCGCACAAGUAGAGUGAUCGAAAGAUGAAAAGCACUUUGGAAAGAGAGUCAAACAGCACGUGAAAUUGUUGAAAGGGAAGCGCUUGCAGCCAGACUUGCUUACAGUUGCUCAUCCGGGUUUCUACCCGGUGCACUCUUCUGUAGGCAGGCCAGCAUCAGUUUGGGCGGUAGGAUAAAGGUCUCUGUCACGUACCUCCUUUCGGGGAGGCCUUAUAGGGGAGACGACAUACUACCAGCCUGGACUGAGGUCCGCGCAUCUGCUAGGAUGCUGGCGUAAUGGCUGUAAGCGGCC